CGAAGACGAGCUCUGAGAUUUAAACUUCAUUUAUUUUACAACAAAAACUAUGAUUUUGUCAUGGUCUCGGUCAGCAGAUUAACAUGAUUCUACCAGUUUAGAUAAACGAACCAGACCAGCUCUUAACUGAUGGGAUGUUGGAGAUCAGAUUCACCAUCUCCCCCUGAGAAGCAUCUGGACAGUGAGUUUGAGCAGGAAGCUCUUAGUAAGGAUGAUGAAGGGGAUGUGAAGCUCCGAGUCUCUAUCUGAAGUUCUGGAUGAUCAUGAGGUUAUAGCUGGAGGAGUGAGACUUUGGCUUCUACAGACCUACAGAGACAGAUAAUCCUGACUAAUCCUGCUCCUGGUGAGCCACUUUCCUGAGUUUAGCUCCAACCUGAUUAAAAACACCUGAAACAGCUAAUCAAGAUCUUUAGGAUUACUAGAAACUUACAGGUAGGUUUAUUGGGUUCUAUGUUUCUAAUUCAUAUAAAACUUGAUUUCAAUAAACAAAUGAUGUUGUUUACAAGAUGUGUUUGUGUUAUCAGUUUCAUGCAUUUAAACACAAGACUGACAUUUGACAGAUAUUAGUUAAUAAAUCGAUUGGAUUUCCCCCCCCCCACAACAGUUUAUUUGGUACAAUAUUUCACUCAUACUCAUCAAACAGAUUUGAUAUCAGCAUAUUCCCCUGCAAAAUCUCACAACAAACACAGAGAACUGGACAUCUUUCUAGUCCUGCUAUGAGGCUGGAAUUCCAUUCUUCUUAAUAUUUGUGUGAAAAAAAUGGUGUGGUUUAAAUGCGGGUCUUUGAAGAACAAAAAUACAACAGUGGCAUGUUCAAAUCUCACAAAUGCAGUAAUCUCUUUUCUGUUUUAACAAUGUAAAUUUACAAGACCUAAAAACAAACCAACCUUCAUCCCAAAUUCUGUGGCACAGAGGUUAAUCGUUUGCCUUAAAAUGUGAAAGUCUCAGCUCAAAUUCUUUGGGUUAUAGUUUUCGUCAUAUGACACAAAGUUCUCAAGAAUAUCACGGUCAAAACACAGUUGAAAUCCACACAGUCAGUGUCUCAGAAGAUUAAAAAUGUUACUUGUGUUAGCUUUAAUUAAUGCUGUAGCUAAACAUAACAUCUAAAAGACCCGUGAAACAAACUUUUCCACUGUGUUACAAACUCAGUGACUCAGGAGGUAAAGCGUUUCGAUUUUUAAUCUUGGAGGCCUGAGUUCGAAUCUCACUACUGUGUUAAAUUGCAGCUUUGUGGCUUAGUGGUUGAGUGUUUGCGUCCCAUAAACAGAAGUCUGGGUUCAAAUCCCACACUUGUGUGCUAAUCAUUAUUUAAAACAAAGCUCUCAAUAAAACCAUGUCCAAAAGACACAACAACAACUCCAGUAGCUCAGUGGAUAGAGCUUGGGUCUUUCAUCUUGGAGAACGAAGUUCAAAUCCCACUAUUGCUUAUAUUAAAUUGCUGCCAUUAAAUCCAACAAAGUUCCCCAAACAACAGUGCUCAUUGUGAAAGCCAAGAUGGCUCCAGUGGUUAAACACAUUGGUUGGGGACAAGAUUAUGGUAAAGGUGCGGGUUCAAAUCCCACCUCAGCAUGUUAAAACUUUAACUGGUUUAUGUCACAGGCGAAUAGUGAAAUAUAAGUUCUUUCACAUGUUCAGACAAGAGAUCUGUGGCUCACAGGUUAGAGUGCUGCCUCAUGGUUCAGAGGUUGCUGGUUCAAUCCCAGCCAGAUCUCUGUGAUAUGAGUGAGUGUUGUGUGAAUGAAGGAGUGGGGAUGAUUCGGGUCCCCCCCGAGCCCCGGCACGAUGUCCAGCAGGGGUUAUACUUCUUGACAGA
Molecule: long non-coding RNA, 1813 nt
Organism: Sinocyclocheilus grahami
Lineage: Eukaryota; Metazoa; Chordata; Actinopteri; Cypriniformes; Cyprinidae
Exons: 3
Source: RefSeq, a predicted model, not a curated record